GGGGGAGGUCAGGGUGGGGGAGGAGGGCAGAGAGCAUCCCAGGAAUCAAAGCUGCUGUUCUUGUUUCCCCUGACUGACUUGACCCACACUGCCUUGCCUGCCAAUGAGAAAGCCAUCCCCACCCAGCCUCUCUCGGCGAGCACCUCCCGCGGCUCUCUGGGUGAAGCUGGAGCUGUGGGUGCAGCAUCUCACCUAGGCCCCAGCAGCACCGGUGAGCCAACUCCUCACUGGUGAGUGUGCAGGGCCCCAGCCCCUGCUCCUAAAGCUUUGGUCAGAAGGAAUGUGGGAAAUCGCCUGAUGGAGCCCAGCACCUUACAGAUGAGAGAGGAUGGAGGACCAAGUGUGAGCAAAGUUCAGUGGUGAGUGGACCAAAGAGGGAGGCGGGGCGGCCGAGAGGAGGCAGAGUCCUAACCGCUGCCGUGCAGGCUGGACUGAAGGUGCAGCAACAGAGAUCCAAAAUUGCAAAUGACCAAGACCAACCAAAGGAAACCCAUCUGUCCCGGAUGACACCCUGAGGCAGUUGGCUGAGACACACAUUUUGGCAAGUCCAUUCUGGAUAAAGUCGUUGCUUCUCUUGAGAUGCAAGAAACUAGUGCUAUCUUGCAUAUGGGUAACUCAGAUGAAUUAGCCUGAACAAAGGGCUUUCCAGGCAGAGAGGGCAGCAGGUGCAAAGGCCCUGAGGCUGGACCAUGGGUGGCAAGUGGAAGGAAAAGCAUGUGUGGUUGGAGUCCAUGAGGCAG
RNAcentral lists this long non-coding RNA (740 nucleotides) under Zalophus californianus (California sea lion). RNAcentral describes it as "lncRNA (ENSZCAG00015001548.1)". The record is from RNAcentral. Lineage: Eukaryota; Metazoa; Chordata; Mammalia; Carnivora; Otariidae.